AGUUCACCGAUUAGAGCAAUGAAGUCUACAUUUGUCCUCCUGUUUGUUUCGGUUGCGUCGGCACUCGUGCUUUAUGACAGCGGAGAGGAAUCACUGUUGAGAACUGAGUUUAUGGAUUCCGGAUCCCCACCCGAAAUUAAUUACAUGUCAUCUGAUGAGCUUCCGUGGGCAGAUGAACGUCUCUUAUAUCGACUAUUAAAAUUACAUAAGAAUAACACAACUGAGCAGGACUUAAAUACGAAGAACGCCCCAGAAACAAAGGCUCACAAAAGUGUUGAGAUAAAAAGAUCGAAAAGUAAUAAGCUAACGGAUAACAGUAACAGUCCGCGUAACUCCGCGAGGAAAUGGUACUUGAAGAAAGGCAAAGGAACGCCGACACUGUGUUUUUUCAAAAUUUGCUCGUUCAAAACCAUACAGUGGUAGAAUAUAUUAAAGCCCGGACAAAGUACCGCUGAAACAAAUGGAAAUCUUGUAAAAUAAUGACAAAGCUUAUUGAAAUAAAC
Pieris brassicae (large cabbage white) is the source of this 503-nucleotide long non-coding RNA. RefSeq lists it as uncharacterized. The transcript has 4 exons. Lineage: Eukaryota; Metazoa; Arthropoda; Insecta; Lepidoptera; Pieridae. The record is from RefSeq and is a predicted model, not a curated record.